Molecule: ribosomal RNA, 253 nt
Filed under: uncultured bacterium
Lineage: Bacteria
Description: partial 16S ribosomal RNA
Rfam family: Bacterial small subunit ribosomal RNA
Source: RNAcentral
UACGGAGGGUGCAAGCGUUGUCCGGAUUUAUUGGGUUUAAAGGGUGCGUAGGCGGCUCUAUAAGUCAGUGGUGAAAUACUUGAGCUUAACUUAAGAACUGCCAUUGAUACUGUAGAGCUUGAGUACUGACGAGGUAGGCGGAAUCGACAGUGUAGCGGUGAAAUGCAUAGAUAUUGUCAAGAACACCGAUAGCGAAGGCAGCUUACUAGAGAGUAACUGACGCUGAGGCACGAAAGCGUGGGGAUCAAACAGG